RNAcentral lists this long non-coding RNA (1033 nucleotides) under Homo sapiens (human). RNAcentral's name for it is "non-protein coding lnc-LPCAT1-4:13". The record is from RNAcentral. Lineage: Eukaryota; Metazoa; Chordata; Mammalia; Primates; Hominidae.
AGAGGCGGAAGCGGUGUCGCUCUGAGGGGUCGCCAGUCGCCGCAGGCGCUUCAGCCCAGCGGCGGGCCUUGGCCCUUGGCUGCCUACUCCUACCGCCCCAGCCCCGGGCGGCCCUGGGCCUGCUGCGGGCGCGGCGCUGCCCGACCAGAGCUUCCUGUGGAACGUCUUCCAGAGGGUCGAUAAAGACAGGAGUGGAGUGAUAUCAGACACCGAGCUUCAGCAAGCUCUCUCCAACGGUGAGUGGGCCAGUGGGAACUGGGUCUCCGGACCAAGAAGCCGUGAGCCUGCCCUGUUCACAGUGGAUAACUUUCUGAAGUUGUUUUUCCAAGGACAAAGGAAUCAUUAGGACAAAUUGUUAAUACUGCUUCAUGGUGGAGAUGCUUCUGGUUUAUUUUGUGGCUACCGCUGUUACUGCUUGGAGUGCCUCACCGAGCCAGGCACGUGGACUCCCUUUAAUCCAGUGACUGUCAGGUCGAUCAUAUACUACACUGAAGGCUGGUUACGCUCUUAUGUGCAAUAGAACCUCAAACACAUCGUAACACACCUUUGGAGAAUCCUUACAAGAACACCAAGUUAACAGUUAUCUCUGACCACACUACCUCAGCAAAAAACCAGGAAGAAAAAAUAUUCUUCAACCCUUUUCAGGGACAGAAAGCAUCAUUUCAAAAGUCCAAGAAGGGAAGCAAAACUUCUGACCUGAGACAUCGAAGCAGAUAAAAAGCCGCUACACAAAAUGUAUCGCUACAACUAGAGGGCAGUCUUGCCUUUCUUCCAUUCAAUUAUUCAGUUUCUCAUGUUCCUAAGUGCCAGCCCAGAACCAUGGAAUGUGAAGAAACACAAAACUCACUCCUCUGCAUCAGUGAAUUGAUUGUGUGGUGGGGAUGUAAGUCUGCAUGUGACUGACAGUUCCCCAAAGUGGUGCCAAGUCAAUCUAAACUAGAGAGAAUUUCUGGCCAGGCCAAGCAGAGAUUUCAUGGAUGAAGUCUCCCAAAGACUGAUUUCCUAAACAUUAAACAUCACUGGUUUUCCAAAA